UGUGACGGCAGGUAACGAUGGACAAUUACAACUAGAUUGAUGAAUGAGCUCCGAUUCAACUAUAGUUUCUGUGAGUCUCGACAUCCGACAUCCUAUCUGUUGAAAAAUAUGUCCCAAAAGUCAAUCAUCAAGUUGUUGACGGUUGAGCAACCAAGUAUGGUAAUUGAUUUAUUGAUAAAUAAAAUAUAUUUGGUAUUUU
RNAcentral lists this long non-coding RNA (199 nucleotides) under Elaeis guineensis (African oil palm). RNAcentral's name for it is "long non-coding RNA (EGUI_LNC029044)". Lineage: Eukaryota; Viridiplantae; Streptophyta; Magnoliopsida; Arecales; Arecaceae. The record is from RNAcentral.